GGGCGGGUCUAUUUUGAAUCCAAAUAAAAUUCUAAGGGUUGAUUUGAACUAAACAUACAAACGACUGAAUUGAAAACCAUUUAACAACAAAGGGAUUAUUAAAGCAAUUUAACGCAAAAAUCUUCUCUGACGUGUGGAUUUGGAUAUUCAAAACGGUGCCGUUCAAACAAUGGAUCCAAUCGAAACAGAAAUCCAAUAUAAUGUAUAGAUUAGACUAAUAAUAAAAAUUGAAUCAAAACCAUGCAAAAUAUAGAAGGACUCCUCGCGCAAAUGGACCAUUGAAGCAAAACGCGCGGAUCCUUCCCUCGGACCGGGUCAUCGCGCGGGUCGGAGGCUUCUAAAUGACGCAAAAUCAGAGGCUGAAACCCUAGCAGCUUCCAGCACCGUUCUCCCCAGCCACGCACGCCUCCGUACAGCCUUCACACACCACCACGGCUGCGCAUACGUCGUACCGGCAAGAACGACAAGCAAACAAAAAGCGCAGAAAUCGACAGCAAAUGAAAAAGGACAGAUUUCUUUUGAUUUUUUGAUUUUAUUUUGUUUUUUUCAUUUUCGGCUAUAAAGGCCGAUUUAAGAAUCUGUAAACACACACACAUAUUGAAUACAAAAAAAAUUCAGAGAAAUCAAAAAAAACUUGAAAGGUGAUUGUAGAUUUCCUUUUUCUUUUCGUUCUUUCUUCUGCUUCGUUUUUUGAUACUUAUUCCAUAUUCGGUGCAAAAAAAAAAGAAAAUAGGAUUUAAAGGAUCGAGGCUUACCUGGUGGCUGACUCUCCUUCUAUUCCGUCAUAAUUGGGGUCGGUUGGAAGAAAAUGGCCUUCGGUUAGCCUGCGCAUGGAGCGGGACAGAGAACCUUUAGGGUUCUUUAGUUUUUUUAUCUUUAUUUUUUUCUUAGAAAAUGAUAGGCUG
Molecule: long non-coding RNA, 905 nt
Filed under: Gossypium barbadense (sea-island cotton)
Lineage: Eukaryota; Viridiplantae; Streptophyta; Magnoliopsida; Malvales; Malvaceae
Description: long non-coding RNA (GBAR_LNC018143)
Source: RNAcentral